GUCUCUGUAGCGCAAUAGAUAGCGCGUUGGAUUUCUAAUUCAAAAGUCGUGGUUUCGAAUCCCGCCUGGGAUG
RNAcentral lists this transfer RNA (73 nucleotides) under Trichonephila inaurata madagascariensis. It matches the Rfam family "tRNA". From Rfam's summary of the family: Transfer RNA (tRNA) molecules are approximately 80 nucleotides in length. Their secondary structure includes four short double-helical elements and three loops (D, anti-codon, and T loops). Lineage: Eukaryota; Metazoa; Arthropoda; Arachnida; Araneae; Nephilidae. The record is from Rfam by way of RNAcentral.